RNAcentral lists this unclassified non-coding RNA (401 nucleotides) under uncultured fungus. Its description in RNAcentral is "partial contains 5.8S ribosomal RNA and internal transcribed spacer 2". The stretch from base 1 to 137 matches the Rfam family "5.8S ribosomal RNA", at positions 22 to 154 of the family's 154-position model. Lineage: Eukaryota; Fungi. The record is from RNAcentral.
UGGCUCUCGCAUCGAUGAAGAACGCAGCGAAAUGCGAUAAGUAGUGUGAAUUGCAGAAUUCAGUGAAUCAUCGAAUCUUUGAACGCACCUUGCGCUUUUUGGUAUCCACUCCAAGAAGCAUGUCUGUUUGAGUGUCGUAAAAUUCUCAAAUCUCAUCUCGAGUAACUUCGAGUUGAAUUUGGAUUGAUGGAAGCUUUGCUGGCCUUUUGUGGUCUGCUCUUCUUAAAUAAAUUAGCGAAAGGUUUGACUUGUUCAAUUUCUUGAUAUAAUAGUCUUUGCUUGUUAUCUUGAAAAUGUUCAAAACUUGUUUGAAAAACAUGCAGAACCCUACUGCUUCUAAACUGUCUAAUUAAAAGACAACUUGAAAAUUUGACCUCAAAUCAGAUAGGACUACCCGCUGA